Molecule: ribosomal RNA, 541 nt
Filed under: uncultured bacterium
Lineage: Bacteria
Description: bacterial SSU rRNA
Rfam family: Bacterial small subunit ribosomal RNA
Source: RNAcentral
AAUAGAUACCCUGGUAGUCCACCCCGUAAACGUUGGGAACUAGUUGUGGGGUCCAUUCCACGGAUUCCGUGACGCAGCUAACGCAUUAAGUUCCCCGCCUGGGGAGUACGGCCGCAAGGCUAAAACUCAAAGGAAUUGACGGGGACCCGCACAAGCGGCGGAGCAUGCGGAUUAAUUCGAUGCAACGCGAAGAACCUUACCAAGGCUUGACAUACACGAGAACACCCUGGAAACAGGGGACUCUUUGGACACUCGUGAACAGGUGGUGCAUGGUUGUCGUCAGCUCGUGUCGUGAGAUGUUGGGUUAAGUCCCGCAACGAGCGCAACCCUCGUUCUAUGUUGCCAGCACGUAAUGGUGGGAACUCAUGGGAUACUGCCGGGGUCAACUCGGAGGAAGGUGGGGAUGACGUCAAAUCAUCAUGCCCCUUAUGUCUUGGGCUUCACGCAUGCUACAAUGGCCGGUACAAAGGGCUGCAAUACCGUGAGGUGGAGCGAAUCCCAAAAAAGCCGGUCCCAGUUCGGAUUGAGGUCUGCAACUCGA